GCGCGAAAACUUUGCAAUGCGGGAAACCGUGACAAGGGAACUCUGAGUGCCCGUUAAAUCGGGCUGUCCAUCGGUUUAAAUAACCGGUGAAAAAGGGCCGGGCAAGACCGGUGCCAGCCGCCGCGGUAAUACCGGCGGCUCGAGUGGUGGCCACUAUUACUGGGCUUAAAGCGUUCGUAGCUGGUUUGUUAAGUCUCUGGGGAAAUCUUCCGGCUUAACCGGAAGGCGUUUCAGGGAUACUGGCAGACUAGGGACCGGGAGAGGUGAGAGGUACUCCAGGGGUAGGAGUGAAAUCCUGUAAUCCUUGGGGGACCACCUGUGGCGAAGGCGUCUCACCAGAACGGCUCCGACAGUGAGGGACGAAAGCUGGGGGAGCAAACCGGAUUAGAAACCCUAGUA
This 399-nucleotide ribosomal RNA is filed under the name uncultured bacterium. RNAcentral describes it as "bacterial SSU rRNA". It matches the Rfam family "Archaeal small subunit ribosomal RNA", at positions 339 to 743 of the family's 1478-position model. The record is from RNAcentral.